GACGAACGCUGGCGGCGUGCCUAACACAUGCAAGUCGAACGGAACUUACCGAAUGAAGUCUUCGGAUGGAUUUUGGUAAGUUUAGUGGCGGACGGGUGAGUAACGCGUGAGUAACCUGCCUUCAAGAGGGGAAUAACGUUCUGAAAAGAACGCUAAUACCGCAUAACAUACGGAUGUCGCAUGGCAACCGUAUCAAAGAUUUUAUCGCUUGAAGAUGGACUCGCGUCCGAUUAGCCAGUUGGCGGGGUAACGGCCUAUCAAGUCGACGAUCCAUAGCCGGACUGAGAGGUUGAACGGCCACAUUGGGACUGAGACACGGCCCAG
RNAcentral lists this ribosomal RNA (324 nucleotides) under uncultured bacterium. RNAcentral describes it as "bacterial SSU rRNA". It matches the Rfam family "Bacterial small subunit ribosomal RNA", at positions 28 to 334 of the family's 1533-position model. The record is from RNAcentral.